Molecule: ribosomal RNA, 253 nt
Filed under: uncultured bacterium
Lineage: Bacteria
Description: partial 16S ribosomal RNA
Rfam family: Bacterial small subunit ribosomal RNA
Source: RNAcentral
UACAGAGGUCCCAAGCGUUGUUCGGAUUCACUGGGCGUAAAGGGUGCGUAGGCGGUCGGGUAAGUCUGAUGUGAAAUCUCACAGCUUAACUGUGAAACUGCAUUGGAUACUAUCCGGCUCGAGGAAUGGAGGGGAGACUGGAAUACUUGGUGUAGCAGUGAAAUGCGUAGAUAUCAAGUGGAACACCAGUGGCGAAGGCGAGUCUCUGGACAUUUCCUGACGCUGAGGCAUGAAAGCCAGGGGAGCAAACGGG